RNAcentral lists this ribosomal RNA (301 nucleotides) under uncultured bacterium. RNAcentral's name for it is "partial 16S ribosomal RNA". It matches the Rfam family "Bacterial small subunit ribosomal RNA", at positions 509 to 807 of the family's 1533-position model. The record is from RNAcentral.
CAGUCGCCACGGUAAUACGUAGGGUGCGAGCGUUAAUCGGAAUUACUGGGCGUAAAGCGUGCGCAGGCGGUUGUGUAAGACAGGUGUGAAAUCCCCGGGCUUAACCUGGGAACUGCGCUUGUGACUGCACAGCUAGAGUAUGGCAGAGGGGGGUGGAAUUCCACGUGUAGCAGUGAAAUGCGUAGAGAUGUGGAGGAACACCGAUGGCGAAGGCAGCCCCCUGGGCCAAUACUGACGCUCAUGCACGAAAGCGUGGGAAGCAGACAGGAUUAGAUACCCCCGUAGUCCCUGUCUCUUAUAC